CUCUGCAGGGCUCCAUAUCUAAGGCAAACAUACAAAAUGAGUCAAAGUGAAAAGUCAACUUUCCCCUAAAGUGUGACUUUUUAAAUUAGUUGAAUUGAUUACAAGGUCAGCAAUAAUGGCGUAUUAACACCACCCUGAUCCAUGCCAUGUGGUGGGCAGAUUUUAAGAGUGUGGGUGAUGGAGGGGAUGGUGAAGUGUGUAGUUGAGUGCAUUGCAGGAGGUGACCCAGAUAUUAUUGAUUCUGAAUGCUGUGAAGGACACUCAAACCCUGACUUGCAGACUUGUUUAGAAAUUUCUCUCUGAAUGCCAGAUCCCAAGUCCACCACUAGAUGUCACCCUGGUCCCACCAAAGUUUCUCACUAACGCACAUCAUCGUUUCAGGGUCCAUGGAAGCCGUGGAGAAGGAAAUCAAAGGCCUGAUUAGCCGCCUCUUGCCCAGAAAGGACAGAGAAGGCAAUGGCACCCCACUCCAGUACUCUUGCCUGGAAAAUCCCAUGGACGGAGGAGCCUGGUUUGCAGAGAGCAAAGCAGCUUGCCCAACCACCGGCCCCUUGAACAAGAGAUACAACUUUUAACAAAAAGGAAUGCUAUUGCAGCAGGAAUGUGCUGCCCAAAGGCAGGGAGAGAUGAGCUCAUGGUGUUUUCAGCAGAAAUCAUCUUUGAAAGCAGAAUACCAGUGCGGUUUUUCUUUCUAUAAUCUGGAGGCCUGAGAGGAUCUCGGGGAAAAUGAAAGCAUCGAUCAAACCCUCUUAAUCCUGAUCCAGCAGCUGUUUCACAGACUGUAACAGUCUCCAGCCAGCCCUUGACACAGGCGAGUUCAAAGACAAUUGCCACGUAAGAGGCACUUUCUGAAAUGACUGCACAAACUCAGCCAGGCCCCCUCAAAGCAGAGUGAAACGUUGAAAAAAGCCACGCCUGAGCAGUCAAAACUAAGCCAACUAAGCUGAGGCUCAGAAGCCAUCGUAGGCCGUUCAAAGGCCAAGAACUAAGAAAAGAGAGACCCCAGCCUCCCGAGGGCCACCUGAGCAGGCCUGCGAUGUCCUAGGGUUCUGCAGCAGGAAGAGAUGGGGUGGAAACUAGAAGCUUCUCUAUAAAAGUCUACUCACAAAUAGGAAUUCAAACUUACAAGCCAUUGUGCCUGG
Molecule: long non-coding RNA, 1142 nt
Organism: Bubalus bubalis (water buffalo)
Lineage: Eukaryota; Metazoa; Chordata; Mammalia; Artiodactyla; Bovidae
Exons: 3
Source: RefSeq, a predicted model, not a curated record